UACGUAGGUGGCAAGCGUUGUCCGGAAUUAUUGGGCGUAAAGCGCGCGCAGGCGGUCCUUUAAGUCUGAUGUGAAAGCCCACGGCUCAACCGUGGAGGGUCAUUGGAAACUGGGGGACUUGAGUGCAGGAGAGAAGAGUGGAAUUCCACGUGUAGCGGUGAAAUGCGCAGAUAUCAGGAGGAACACCAAUGGCGAAGGCAGCACUCUGGGACGUGACUGACGCUGAGACGCGAAAGCGUGGGGAGCAAACAGG
This 253-nucleotide ribosomal RNA is filed under the name uncultured bacterium. Its description in RNAcentral is "partial 16S ribosomal RNA". It matches the Rfam family "Bacterial small subunit ribosomal RNA", at positions 524 to 776 of the family's 1533-position model. The record is from RNAcentral.